UAAGACGAACCGUGCGAACGUUGUUCGGAAUCACUGGGCUUAAAGGGCGCGUAGGUGGUCUGCCAAGUCCGGGGUGAAAGCCUCCAGCUCAACUGGAGAAGUGCCUUGGAUACUGGCGGACUCGAGGGAGGCAGGGGUCGUGGGAACUUCCGGUGGAGCGGUGAAAUGCGUUGAUAUCGGAAGGAACGCCGGUGGCGAAAGCGCACGACUGGUCCUCUUCUGACACUGAGGCGCGAAAGCCAGGGGAGCAAACGGGAUUAGAUACCCCGGUAGUCCUGGCCCUAAACGAUGGGUACUAGAUUGUGGGCUUACAUGGGCUCACAGUCGAAGCAAAAGUGGUAAGUACCCCGCCUGGGGAGUAUGGUCGCAAGGCUG
This 375-nucleotide ribosomal RNA is filed under the name uncultured bacterium. RNAcentral's name for it is "bacterial SSU rRNA". It matches the Rfam family "Bacterial small subunit ribosomal RNA", at positions 521 to 896 of the family's 1533-position model. The record is from RNAcentral.